RNAcentral lists this ribosomal RNA (1117 nucleotides) under Salmonella enterica. RNAcentral describes it as "partial 23S ribosomal RNA". It matches the Rfam family "Bacterial large subunit ribosomal RNA", at positions 711 to 1746 of the family's 2925-position model. Lineage: Bacteria; Pseudomonadati; Pseudomonadota; Gammaproteobacteria; Enterobacterales; Enterobacteriaceae. The record is from RNAcentral.
AGACCCGAAACCCGGUGAUCUAGCCAUGGGCAGGUUGAAGGUUGGGUAACACUAACUGGAGGACCGAACCGACUAAUGUUGAAAAAUUAGCGGAUGACCUGUGGCUGGGGGUGAAAGGCCAAUCAAACCGGGAGAUAGCUGGUUCUCCCCGAAAGCUAUUUAGGUAGCGCCUCGUGAAUUCAUCUCCGGGGGUAGAGCACUGUUUCGGCUAGGGGGCCAUCCCGGCUUACCAACCCGAUGCAAACUGCGAAUACCGGAGAAUGUUAUCACGGGAGACACACGGCGGGUGCUAACGUCCGUCGUGAAGAGGGAAACAACCCAGACCGCCAGCUAAGGUCCCAAAGUCAUGGUUAAGUGGGAAACGAUGUGGGAAGGCCCAGACAGCCAGGAUGUUGGCUUAGAAGCAGCCAUCAUUUAAAGAAAGCGUAAUAGCUCACUGGUCGAGUCGGCCUGCGCGGAAGAUGUAACGGGGCUAAACCAUGCACCGAAGCUGCGGCAGCGAACGUAUCACUUAAAGCGAUUCAGCGGGUUACGAUUGACGGAGCGAAGCGACGUCAAAGCGUAUACAAAGUCGAGUCGGUUUAAGGAUACGUUCGUUGGGUAGGGGAGCGUUCUGUAAGCCUGUGAAGGUGUGUCGUGAGGCAUGCUGGAGGUAUCAGAAGUGCGAAUGCUGACAUAAGUAACGAUAAAGCGGGUGAAAAGCCCGCUCGCCGGAAGACCAAGGGUUCCUGUCCAACGUUAAUCGGGGCAGGGUGAGUCGACCCCUAAGGCGAGGCCGAAAGGCGUAGUCGAUGGGAAACGGGUUAAUAUUCCCGUACUUGGUGUUACUGCGAAGGGGGGACGGAGAAGGCUAUGUUGGCCGGGCGACGGUUGUCCCGGUUUAAGCGUGUAGGCUGGUUUUCCAGGCAAAUCCGGAAAAUCAAGGCUGAGGCGUGAUGACGAGGCACUACGGUGCUGAAGCAACAAAUGCCCUGCUUCCAGGAAAAGCCUCUAAGCAUCAGGUAACAUCAAAUCGUACCCCAAACCGACACAGGUGGUCAGGUAGAGAAUACCAAGGCGCUUGAGAGAACUCGGGUGAAGGAACUAGGCAAAAUGGUGCCGUAACUUCGGGAGAAGG